UACAGAGGGGGCAAGCGUUAUUCGGAAUUAUUGGGCGUAAAGGGCGCGUAGGCGGCCAUUCAAGUGACGGGUGAAAGCCCUCGGCUUAACCGAGGAACUGCCUGUCAGACUGGAUGGCUUGAGACCGGGAGAGGUGAGUGGAAUUCCCAGUGUAGCGGUGAAAUGCGUAGAUAUUGGGAGGAACACCAGUGGCGAAGGCGGACUCACUGGACCGGAACUGACGCUGAGGCGCGAAAGCGUGGGGA
Molecule: ribosomal RNA, 245 nt
Filed under: uncultured bacterium
Lineage: Bacteria
Description: partial 16S ribosomal RNA
Rfam family: Bacterial small subunit ribosomal RNA
Source: RNAcentral